Long non-coding RNA from Formica exsecta, 2441 nucleotides. RefSeq lists it as uncharacterized. The record is from RefSeq and is a predicted model, not a curated record. NCBI's taxonomy places the organism in Eukaryota, Metazoa, Arthropoda, Insecta, Hymenoptera, Formicidae. The transcript has 3 exons.
UAUCGGCUGGAUGUUCCAAAAAUCAUUAAUUAUAACAUUGAAAUAUAGUAGAUCAAUGUAGCAAAUUUCUGUCAAAUGUAAAAUUUACAAUCUUGCGGCUGUGUGUGUAUGUGUGUGGUCGCUGGCUGGUUGAAAUUUUGAAGCGAGAACUGACACUUGGCAUAAUUUGGUAAUUAUCACUUAUUUAUGUACGUAUUUUGAGAUAUGCAACCCCGAUUUUUAUUUUCAUUGUCGAUUAACUAUCACUAACACAACUAAUACUAAUUAGUUAUUCAAGCUUUUAAUAACAUAUAUUUUUUUAUUUUGCAAAACCCUUGAUUAUUCUUCUCUCAAGUCAUGUUUUUAUCAAUAUUUUUUUUAAUAUAAAACUUUGAAUUCUUUCUGGACCAUUUUUUCGGAUUUUGUUUACGUGACUCUGUCGGGCAGGAUGCGGUCGUGUAAUAAAAUGGUUCGUUAUUUAAACCAUUUUACGAAUUUCUUGAGAGAAAACGCUAAAUGUGCUUUGGAAAUAUGUCAAUCAUAAAUUCAUAUAUACUCGUGAUUUCACAGAACAAUUCACGGACAACACCUAUACAAUAGACACAAUUAUUUAAAAAAAAUGAUAUUUUGUACAAGCACUUUUGUAAAUUUUAAACGUAUAAAAAAUAGCGACACGCGCGUGUUUACAUGCUUGACGAUAUGUCAAUACGGCGUAAUGAAGAUAAGCCGCAUUACACAACGAGAUAACACCGAUGCAAAGAAGGAUGAAAGUUUAUUAUUAUUUGAUCAGCAUUUAUACGCUGAGCAAGUCGUGUGAUAUUUUGUUCAUUAAUAAAGUUCCGUAUCUAUACAAUCUUCAAGUAUGAGUAUUUCAAUCUUCAUAUCAAACCAAAAAUUGAUUACACACGCGUAGCUUAGCACAUAUUCCGUCUUUCGAUUUUUGUAAACGUAAAUAUAUUCUUGAAUGUUUUCAUUCAGUUUAAUGUUAUUAUUUAUAUCUUAGCCACGGAGGAGAUAUUUUUCAGUUGUCGUUCUUCUCUGUUGAGUAACUUCUGAUCUUUUUAAAACCUUUUUCUCGUAUCGCGUAGCAAAGAGAUAUGCGCGUUUAAGGGUCACGAUGCAUUUAUCCGUGGUGUUAUCGAGGAGUUCGAGAGAUACCAGAACAACGUAUCGCUAACUCGCCAACAGAGAAUGUGUCUGUUCUUUUCAGCUAUACAUUUUUUGCACUUUUUAUUUUUAUCAGUGACGAGCGAUCAUCGUGAUAUUUUUUUUCUGCAAAGAUUUGAAAGUUUUGAAGCGGAAAAUAUCACUUGCACAUGUAUGUUGCACCAUCACAAAUAAUAGCCGGUAAAAUAAAACUGAUGUGCAAUCUUGAAAAAAUCUAUCUAUGCCAGGUUGAAGUUUCCUUUUUCUUUUCAAGAACAGUACAGUAAAACAUUAUAAAGCACAAGCUCUAUUUAUUUCUUGUAAUUUUAAUACGUAUUUCUUGCAAAUCUUUCAGACGAUCCUGCUGGAUGCAAUUCUCACAAGAAGAAAGUUUUCAUUCAAUUACAGAUAUGUCGUGACACGCACUAUUGCGAGAGCAGCUGGUAGUAACCUGCGUAUAAGUCUUGAAUAAAACGCGCAGUUUCAUGUGAUCGCAUUGACAAUAUGUCAAUUAUGCUCGCUACAGAGGGAGGAGAGUAUAGAAAGAAGAAUACACGAGCGCAGAAAGUGUGUAGCUGAACAGAGGAACAGAGCAAGCGAACAGAGAAUCAAAGCAUCAGUGGUUGCAUAUACAACCGGAACAACCGGCCCCGGAAAGACCGGAGAGCACAAAAAGAGGGCGAAGCGUGAAUCGUGGAGGUGAGUGUGGCCGCAAGAGAGAAGACAAAGAAGUCGUGCUGUUGUGCUGCUAGUGCGGGAUGCCGAACCGUGGGACUUACGUGGGUAUUAUACACGAGAAACUGUGUUUCUUCUUCGAUUUCUUCCCAUCCCGCAGAUGGCCGGAACUGCAGUCCAAUCGACAUGACCCAAGUAGUUAUUUAUGCAACACUUAACGUGCGAUCCGAGGGGUGGCUGCCGAAACUGGGGUGUGCUACGGCAUUUCUGCAUCCCCUGCAUUCUCACGCGGACGUCGAUACGUAUGAAAAGAGCUACCUGUGCAAGAGUGUCAUUUUUCAAACAGGUACAUACAUGUAUAUGUGACCCGCUCGUUUUCAUUGUGUGAUUUUUAUCGUGACGUCAUCAAUGGACAGGACGCGUCACGAUAUAACGGCUUUGAUAAUUUGCCCUUCCUUGCUUUUCUAUCCAAAUAAUUUAUAAAUUUAUGCUAAAGACAGAUGUAUUUAUUUCAUCUAUUUUUCAACAAUUUCUGAUGAAAUAAAAAAGAAUAUCAAAUAGAAAAUGGAUAAUACAAAAUAGAUGGUAACAAAUCAUUGCUAAUAAAAAAAUAUAUCAACGCACAUUUAAUUAAUUUAAUA